UUCACUCUGUUGCUCAGUAGAAACCACAGGCUUAGUGUUUUCACUUUGUUGCUCAGUAGAAACCACAGGCUUAGUGUUUUUCACUUUGUUGCUAGGUAGAAACCACAGGCUUAGUGUUUUCACUCUGUUGCUCAGUAGAAACCACAGGCUUAGUGUUUUCACUCUGUUGCUCAGUAGAAACCACAGGCUUAGUGUUUUCACUCUGUUGCUCAGUAGAAACCACAGGCGUAGUGUUUUCACUCUGUUGCUCAGUAGAAACCACAGGCUUAGUGUUUUCACUCUGUUGCUAGGUAGAAACCACAGGCUUAGUGUUUUCACUCUGUUGCUAGGUAGAAACCACAGGCGUAGUGUUUUCACUCUGUUGCUCAGUAGAAACCACAGGCGUAGUGUUUUCACUCUGUUGCUCAGUAGAAACCACAGGCGUAGUGUUUUCACUCUGUUGCUAGGUAGAAACCACAGGCGUAGUGUUUUCACUCUGUUGCUCAGUAGAAACCACAGGCUUAGUGUUUUCACUCUGUUGCUCAGUAGAAACCACAGGCGUAGUGUUUUCACUCUGUUGCUAGGUAGAAACCACAGGCUUAGUGUUUUCACUCUGUUGCUAGGUAGAAACCACAGGCUUAGUGUUUUCACUCUGUUGCUAGGUAGAAACCACAGGCUUAGUGUUUUCACUCUGUUGCUAGGUAGAAACCACAGGCUUAGUGUUUUCACUCUGUUGCUAGGUAGAAACCAC
This is a long non-coding RNA of Oncorhynchus keta (chum salmon), 730 nucleotides long. RefSeq lists it as uncharacterized. Lineage: Eukaryota; Metazoa; Chordata; Actinopteri; Salmoniformes; Salmonidae. The transcript has 3 exons. The record is from RefSeq and is a predicted model, not a curated record.